GGGGGAUAUUGCACAAUGGGGGAAACCCUGAUGCAGCGACGCCGCGUGAGUGAAGAAGUAUUUCGGUAUGUAAAGCCCUAUCAGCAGGGACGAAACUGACGGUACCUGAGGCAGAGGCGCCGGCGAACUACGUGCCAGCAGCCGCGGUAAUACGUAGGGGGCAAGCGUUAUCCGGAUUUACUGGGUGUAAAGGGAGCGUAGACGGUUAAGCAAGUCUGGAGUGAAAGGCGGGGGCUCAACCCCCGGACUGCUCUGGAAACUGUAUAACUAGAGUGCAGGAGGGGUAAGUGGAAUUCCUAGUGUAGCGGUGAAAUGCGUAGAUAUUAGGAGGAACACCAGUGGCGAAGGCGGCUUACUGGACUGUAACUGACGUUGAGGCUCGAAAGCGUGGGGAGCAAACAGG
Molecule: ribosomal RNA, 403 nt
Filed under: uncultured bacterium
Lineage: Bacteria
Description: bacterial SSU rRNA
Rfam family: Bacterial small subunit ribosomal RNA
Source: RNAcentral